AAAGUCGUAACAAGGUUUCCGUAGGUGAACCUGCGGAAGGAUCAUUAACACGUUAUCCACGUAUCAAUCAAACCGUGAACUAUUCUGUUGCAGAAUUUUUGGGUACUUUUAUAUGACUUUAGCCGGUCGCUGUGGAUCAUGGGUGAAUUAGGAUCCACCGGUGGAAGACUAUGGAGUACUCAGGUUCUGCUUAUUUGUCUAUUUACCCGAUCACCUUUUGAAUGCGCGUCUGGAGGUCCCUUCCUGGUUGACACCGACGAAGCAUUCAUAUUUUUCUCUAUUUAUUUUGUGGAGAAUAAGCCGUUUAUCGGCUAGUUCUCUAACACAAACUCUGUAUAACUCUUAGCAACGGAUAUCUUGGCUUCC
Molecule: unclassified non-coding RNA, 366 nt
Filed under: Basidiomycota sp.
Lineage: Eukaryota; Fungi; Basidiomycota
Description: partial contains small subunit ribosomal RNA and internal transcribed spacer 1
Rfam family: Eukaryotic small subunit ribosomal RNA (bases 1-47)
Source: RNAcentral